UAUUGCGCUAUUGAAACACCGGUUCUCAUACAAUAUUCGAAGUUAAGCAAUAUCGGGCUUGGUCAGUACCUAGUUGGGUCACAGCUUGGGAAUACCAGGU
Acanthosepion pharaonis is the source of this 100-nucleotide non-coding RNA. NCBI's taxonomy places the organism in Eukaryota, Metazoa, Mollusca, Cephalopoda, Sepiida, Sepiidae. The record is from the annotation of a GenBank genome assembly.